AUAUUGGUCAAUGGACGCGAGUCUGAACCAGCCAAGUAGCGUGAAGGAUGACUGCCCUAUGGNUUGUAAACUUCUUUUAUAUGGGNNUCNNNUNUUCCACGUGUGGAAUUUUGUAUGUACCAUAUGAAUANNNANCNGCUAACUCCGUGCCAGCAGCCGCGGUAAUACGGAGGAUCCGAGCGUUAUCCGGAUUUAUUGGGUUUAAAGGGAGCGUAGGUGGACAGUUAAGUCAGUUGUGAAAGUUUGCGGCUCAACCGUAAAAUUGCAGUUGAAACUGGCAGUCUUGAGUACAGUAGAGGUGGGCGGAAUUCGUGGUGUAGCGGUGAAAUGCUUAGAUAUCACGAAGAACUCCGAUUGCGAAGGCAGCUCACUGGACUGUUGACUGACACUGAGGCUCGAAAGUGUGGGUAUCAAACAG
RNAcentral lists this ribosomal RNA (418 nucleotides) under uncultured bacterium. RNAcentral describes it as "partial 16S ribosomal RNA". It matches the Rfam family "Bacterial small subunit ribosomal RNA", at positions 361 to 775 of the family's 1533-position model. The record is from RNAcentral.